AGAGUUUGAUUCCUGCUCAGGACGAACGCUGGCGGCGUGCUUAACACAUGCAAGUCGAACGAUGAACCUGGAGCUUGCUCUAGGGAAUUAGUGGCGAACGGGUGAGUAACACGUGAGUAACCUGCCCUUGACUCUGGGAUAACCUCCGGAAACGGAAGCUAAUACCGGAUACGACGUACGGAGGCAUCUCCUGUACGUGGAAAGAACUUCGGUCAAGGAUGGACUCGCGGCCUAUCAGGUAGUUGGUGAGGUAACGGCCCACCAAGCCUACGACGGGUAGCCGGCCUGAGAGGGUGACCGGCCACACUGGGACUGAGACACGGCCCAGACUCCUACGGGAGGCAGCAGUGGGGAAUAUUGCACAAUGGGCGCAAGCCUGAUGCAGCAACGCCGCGUGAGGGAUGACGGCCUUCGGGUUGUAAACCUCUUUUAGUUAGGGAAGAAGCGAAAGUGACG
This 456-nucleotide ribosomal RNA is filed under the name Leifsonia shinshuensis. RNAcentral describes it as "bacterial SSU rRNA". It matches the Rfam family "Bacterial small subunit ribosomal RNA", at positions 8 to 474 of the family's 1533-position model. The record is from RNAcentral. Lineage: Bacteria; Bacillati; Actinomycetota; Actinomycetes; Micrococcales; Microbacteriaceae.